UAUGUGUUAUAAUUAUGUUAAAAUGGAUAUAUGGAACUAUUUUCUUGGACGUGUUCUGAAAACCUCGUGAGUUAUUGAUCGUGUAAUAUUAUGUGCAUCCCUUUGCGAGGCUAUCUCCCCGCGUGCGUUCGUCCGGGCGACACCUCACAGGCGGGCAGACUUGUGCAAGGCCACAAACAGACGCUGACGUAUUGUGUGGUCUUCGAAGAUUGUCCGGUUAUUUCAUUAUUGUUUGUUUAUUACGCUGUGGUUGUGGAAUUUAUUAGUGUUAAUCAGCAGUUGGUGAUUGGCAGCAUUUAUACGGUACUCCAUAUCAAGGUUCCAAAACCCGUUCCAGACCACCAUUCCUUGAGCAUCAGCUGCGUCCUUGUGUUCACUCUACCUGAACACGAGUUGUAUAAUGACGUCUGACAUCCGGAUUUUUUAACUCUUUUUGUAUACCAGAAAGAAAAAGUAUGAGUUGAGAACUGUGACAGGUGGGUGUCUGCAGUUCAAAGGUCACAGCGGCGAAGAGAUUCAACCGGCUGUUUGAGAAAAACAGGUAGAGUGACCAUGCGAAUAGACAAACGAUUUUCAGACGCAUUCUCGUUUCUGCAGUGCGCCGUUAAAAUAUCUUCGGCCGUCCAUGCACAUCAGACAAUAUGAGAAAGGUUGAACGAAUUUUCAUGAAAAUGUGCGAAAUGUUUCUAAAAUCUGUCGCUACAUUUUUGCAAAAUUGGACAAUAACUGACAGUUUACGUGAAGACUUUCAUGUGUCUGCGCUCCGAAGCGAUUCGGUCGGGAGUUCCCUAGUCGUCAUCGAAGGUCAGAUUCUGGUGAACGCGAUGUUCAGACGUGCUUAAUAGCUAACCGAACAUCUUUCUUGUUUGUGGUACCGAGCUGUCUGUUAACGGAGCGCGAAGCCAACCACAACGCCAUAUCGUGCCGAGAUUAAGAAUGAGUAGAUCUUUAACUCCACACUUUUCGUGUUGUGAUGUUAGGCGAAAAUACUACUUUACGAAGGAUGUUAACAUUGCCAUUAUUCGAGUUAUUGUGGUCCUGUUGCAGAGAUAUCGAUUUUUUCGGAUAUCAGCCGUUGUAAACGUUUAAUUGGUGUUACCAGAGAUGAGCUGUACCGGGAGCAGGUGAUAACAUCGACCAGAAUUUGGAAAUGUUGAACGAUUUUAAAUGUGAAACUGACUAUAAACACUGCAUGUGAUGUAUUACAUACCUCUCCAGUCUUUAUUUAAUAAAUUGCUCUGACAGUGUGAUUGUA
Non-coding RNA from Zootermopsis nevadensis, 1255 nucleotides. The record is from RefSeq and is a predicted model, not a curated record. NCBI's taxonomy places the organism in Eukaryota, Metazoa, Arthropoda, Insecta, Blattodea, Termopsidae.